Tupaia belangeri chinensis (Chinese tree shrew) is the source of this 336-nucleotide long non-coding RNA. RefSeq lists it as uncharacterized. NCBI's taxonomy places the organism in Eukaryota, Metazoa, Chordata, Mammalia, Scandentia, Tupaiidae. The record is from RefSeq and is a predicted model, not a curated record. The transcript has 3 exons.
UUGACUAGACGUUGCCAUAGUCUUCCCAGGUGACUGGAUCAGUUUACGCUCCCAGCAGCAGCCAUGUAUGAGUCCUGGUUGCUUCACACCCUUGGAAGAGAUAUAUUUAAUUAAAAGAAAUGACAGGACUUGGUGCUGAUGGGCCAGUUGUGCAGUGGGUGGAUGUUCAGCAAGCGCUGAAAGAAGACCUGGGCUCACCACGGCAAGUCUAUGGACAGUUCCACCGUGAUGAAUCAGCGUAUCUGUAGAGGAAUGGAAGAACACAAAGAAAGGCCUAAACGGCAGCGGCAGGACGGCCCCAUGUUUCCUUCUCCCAAAGCCUGGAAUUUCAGAGGG